AUGAAGUGUUUGGAGGAACUC
Molecule: microRNA, 21 nt
Filed under: Oryza sativa (Asian cultivated rice)
Lineage: Eukaryota; Viridiplantae; Streptophyta; Magnoliopsida; Poales; Poaceae
Description: osa-miR395o
Gene: osa-miR395o
Source: miRBase by way of RNAcentral